UGUAACACGUCAUAUUCACUUUUUGAAAUAUUGCCCAGAGACUGCAUAGAAAAUAGAUUGAGCCUAGAAACAAUUCUCCAGAGGAGAGUCAUAGAGGACCUGAACUAGGCAGUAGCAGAGGGAUGGAGACAAGAAGACCGCUGUGAGACAUGCCAGGGAAGACGGCCUUCUAGACCCUAGUGACUCUAAGCAUGGUCUCUGGGCCAACAGCCUCAGCAUCUCUCGGGAGAUUGUGAGAAAUGCGAAUUCUCAGGCCCCAACCCAGAUCUACUGAAUAAAAAUCUGCUUGGAAAAGAUCGCCAAGGGAUCCAUAUGCUCCUUAAACUUCAGAAGCACUGCUUUCAGACCACUUGCCUGGGAGAGGGAUGGAGGAAGGAAUGGACGAUGACUCUGAGCCUGUGUUCAAGCAUUAUAAAAUGGGUGAGACCUUCUAGAACAACAUGGAUGAGACCUUUCUUUGAGAAGAGUGCUUUCCCUUCAACAGUGCAAGUGCCAAGAAGCCAGGAGCCAUGUCUAUUUUCUUCUCUACAAGUUCUACUCAGUACCUAAUUCAGUGACUAAUACAGAGCAGGAAUUUGACAGAUGCCUGUUGAAUGAAUGACAAUAGGGGAUUUUGGACAGUUGGAUUAAUUUUUCCAUUUAAGGAAGCCCAAGCGCAAGACAAGCCGUGUGACAGCUGACGAAACGAUGCAGAGCUCACCUCUGAGCAGGCUGAGUCUCUGUGCUCACCUGCCCCUGAGAAAUGAUGAUGAAUCAGAAACUGCCAAAUGCAAC
Molecule: long non-coding RNA, 774 nt
Filed under: Homo sapiens (human)
Lineage: Eukaryota; Metazoa; Chordata; Mammalia; Primates; Hominidae
Description: HSALNT0101484
Source: RNAcentral